UCCGGUUUGUCACCGGCAGUCUGGCGUGAGUCCCCAACUUAAUGCUGGCAACACGCCACGGGGGUUGCGCUCGUUGCGGGACUUAACCCAACAUUUCACAACACGAGCUGACGACAGCCAUGCAGCACCUGUCUCAGAGCUCCCGAAGGCACCAAAGCAUCUCUGCUAAGUUCUCUGGAUGUCAAGAGUAGGUAAGGUUCUUCGCGUUGCAUCGAAUUAAACCACAUGCUCCACCGCUUGUGCGGGCCCCCGUCAAUUCCUUUGAGUUUUAGCCUUGCGGCCGUACUCCCCAGGCGGAGUGCUUAAUGCGUUAGCUGCGGCACAGAGCGGGUUGAAGACCGCCCCACACCUAGCACUCAACGCUUACGGCUGGGACUAC
RNAcentral lists this unclassified non-coding RNA (379 nucleotides) under uncultured bacterium. RNAcentral's name for it is "contains 16S-23S intergenic spacer region". The record is from RNAcentral.